GUGUCAGCAGCCGCGGUAAUACGAACCGUCCAAACGUUAUUCGGAAUCACUGGGCUUAAAGGGUGCGUAGGCGGCCCGGGAAGUUGGGUGUGAAAUCCCUCGGCUCAACCGAGGAAUUGCGCUCAAAACUGCCGGGCUUGAGGGAGAUAGAGGUGAGCGGAACUUAGGGUGGAGCGGUGAAAUGCGUUGAUAUCCUAAGGAACACCGGUGGCGAAAGCGGCUCACUGGGUCUCUUCUGACGCUGAGGCACGAAAGCUAGGGGAGCGAACGGGAUUAGAUACCCCGGUAGUCCUAGCCGUAAACGAUGAGCACUAGAUCGAAGGGCACUCCAUAGCCCUCCGGUCGUAGCGAAAGUGUUAAGUGCUCCGCCUGGGGAGUAUGGUCGCAAGGCUGAA
Molecule: ribosomal RNA, 395 nt
Filed under: uncultured bacterium
Lineage: Bacteria
Description: bacterial SSU rRNA
Rfam family: Bacterial small subunit ribosomal RNA
Source: RNAcentral